CACCACUGUUGCCGGGAAUGUUGCUUCAGCAUUUCUGCUGUCUAGACAUACCAUUAUUUUGCCUGUGCAAUGCUGCCUGAGCCAUCUCCUGCCCAUCAAUCCCCCAAGAGGCUUCUACCAGACAUGCCGGGAAGCUGCCAUACACACACUGACAGCACCUUUUGGAGGAAGGCGUUUCAGUAUAACAGGAGGAAAAAAAUAAAAUCAGGAGGCUUAAAUGACUUAUGCAGGGUCCCAGAGGAGCAUGGGGUAAAAGCCGGCUGAUUUCCCAGGCAGAAAUAAAGGCUGAGGGUAACACAGGAGCCAGGAUAAAAGCACAGAGGUGCCAACAAGGUGACAAUGCAUUUGCAGUGCUUUGGUGCACAAGGGCUUCCUAUGCUGCUCCCUCUUCUGCAGGGCAAGGCCAAUUUAGUUUCAAACAGCAAAUUUAUAUUCAAAUACAGCUCUGUUCCUUUCCCCCCUGCCUUUGGCAUGACAAAGAGGAAAGCUGUUGAGCAUGAAGCAGAGCUUCCCAUGUUUUGAUCCAGCUCUACAUCCAUAUAUUUGAUGCUGUUUCUUCUGAUUCUUUCUGCCUACCAGGUUUCCUCCUUCAGGAACUGAGGCCGACAAGCCUAUUUAAUCUUUCAUAUUGGCACAGUGAUAACUUCUUUUUAAAUAUUUUAUAUUGUUGUACUGAUAAAGAACAUAAGACAAAACUUGGCAUGAACACAGUCCAGAGGAGAAUCUGCUUAAAAAUAAAACACUUGGGAGAAUGGAAGGAAACAAGUAGCCAUGUGGCUGAAAACAAAAUUAAUUUAAGGAGCUGGGCAAAAAUUUGCUUUAUGGUAAUGAAAGCUCAGGUUCUGCAGGACUUGGAAGUUGCCAAGUACCACGAUUUGACAAGAAGAUCACCAGAGCCAGCUGCAGGGCUGAUGCUUACCAAGAACACAGGAAGGAAAACAAUGCCAACACAGCCCAUUAGCCAAGAGUCUGGUAGUAAGAAGCCCUGCCAAAACAUGCAGUGCCCAAAAGCUUGCAAACCUAGCCUGAGCCAGCAGCAAGGACUCAUCUCUUCAGGGGUAGGACUGGAUGAUGAUAUUUACUAUUUCCUUAGCAUGAGAUUAGUCCCUUUAUUUAAUUUUGAAAAAGAAGUUUGUCAUAACUCUCCAUCACAGAAAAUGAAAGGUUUAAGGUACUGCUGACACCUCCUGGAAAACUUUGAAAAACCUCCUAGGUCACAUGAAAAUAAAGCAAUGCCUCUAUCACGCUUUUGCCUGCUCUUUUAAUCCUUGCUACAGGACUUUUCGUGUAGGUCCGUCAGCCAAGGUUAAAAAACCAAACUUAUAAACAAGACAAAAAUGAUUAUUACUACAGUUAGCAAUUUGUUCCAGAUCUUGUUCUUCCACGCUACAUUCUCUCU
RNAcentral lists this long non-coding RNA (1399 nucleotides) under Taeniopygia guttata (zebra finch). Its description in RNAcentral is "lncRNA (ENSTGUG00000022529.1)". The record is from RNAcentral. Lineage: Eukaryota; Metazoa; Chordata; Aves; Passeriformes; Estrildidae.